AGGAAUAGAGAUCUCAACCUUACUUAGAAACAUAAUGAUGUUUCUCAUUUUUUCAUACUUGAGAGCUAUAAAAUUUGUUAAAAUAGUGAGAAACAUAAUUAGACAAAAAUCUUAAUAUAGUUGUGCAUGUCAUCAUGAGUUGUCUGCUUAUAUUGUGUUCUUGUUAUUGUAUAUUAACUAUAUAUAUGGCAUCCUCACUGUCACUGCAAGGCAUAUUAGAUGCUAACAAAUUGACCGGACCAUACUAUGUGGACUAGUUGAGAAAUUUGAGAAUAGUUCUCACACAAGAGAAAGUCUUCUAUAUACUCGAUUCACCUACAACUGAUACAAUCGGAGA
This 337-nucleotide long non-coding RNA is filed under the name Elaeis guineensis (African oil palm). RNAcentral describes it as "long non-coding RNA (EGUI_LNC053970)". The record is from RNAcentral. Lineage: Eukaryota; Viridiplantae; Streptophyta; Magnoliopsida; Arecales; Arecaceae.